This 274-nucleotide ribosomal RNA is filed under the name uncultured bacterium. Its description in RNAcentral is "partial 16S ribosomal RNA". It matches the Rfam family "Bacterial small subunit ribosomal RNA", at positions 523 to 796 of the family's 1533-position model. The record is from RNAcentral.
AUACGGAGGGGGCUAGCGUUGUUCGGAAUUACUGGGCGUAAAGCGCGCGUAGGCGGACCAGUCAGUCAGGGGUGAAAUCCCGGGGCUCAACCCCGGAACUGCCUUUGAUACUGCUGGUCUUGAGUUCGAGAGAGGUGAGUGGAAUUCCGAGUGUAGAGGUGAAAUUCGUAGAUAUUUGGAGGAACACCAGUGGCGAAGGCGGCUCACUGGCUCGAUACUGACGCUGAGGUGCGAAAGCGUGGGGAGCAAACAGGAUUAGAAACCCUAGUAGUCC